AUACGGAGGGUGCAAGCGUUAUUCGGAAUCACUGGGCGUAAAGGACGCGUAGGCGGGUUGGCAAGUCAGAUGUGAAAUCCUACAGCUUAACUGUAGAACUGCAUUUGAAACUGCUAACCUAGAGUAUGGGAGGAGGAGAUGGUAUUAGUGGUGUAGGGGUAAAAUCCGUAGAUAUCACUAGGAAUACCGAAAGCGAAGGCGAUCUCCUGGAACAUAACUGACGCUAAGGCGUGAAAGCGUGGGGAGCAAACAGGAUUAGAAACCCUUGUAGUCC
RNAcentral lists this ribosomal RNA (274 nucleotides) under uncultured bacterium. RNAcentral's name for it is "partial 16S ribosomal RNA". It matches the Rfam family "Bacterial small subunit ribosomal RNA", at positions 523 to 796 of the family's 1533-position model. The record is from RNAcentral.